AUGGAUGACAUGCUGCCUAUGGGCUCUGCGGAUAGAUCAACACGAGAAAGGACACGCUGUCUUUAAUAUUACUUUAAAAGGUGAACUUCCAUUGGCAUUAGGCUAACUACAUUGCAUUUCCUAAGCUUCCUUCAAAAUGGAAUUUGAAGCAACGUAUUAGUAGAUGACAUAUGCCAGUCUGGCACUUUAAAUGCAUCCUAAAUCACCCUUGGCAACUAUUAUUACCUUUUACACUUCCUUAAUCUGUUCAUCCCCAGCCCUUUGGGACGCUGAAGACUAAUCUCUGCAUUAAGUGAGUCCCGGCUGUUUUGAGUAGGACGCUCAGCCUGUCUCAAAGAGGCCAACAUUCCUGCAGCAACAGUUAGCGACCUUCCUCCCUGCCAGCCACAGCUCUGCUUCCUGCCUACAGGUGCCCUGAACCUUCCCGGCAGGCGCACUCCUCUAAUUGCAAGUGGAGUUUCCACUGGCCUUGGAACAUUUCUCGGGCCUAACGGCAGAAGGGGUUUGACCUACAUCUGUAAGCUGUAAGAGCUCCCUGCAGUGGAAGCACAGACUAGGAGAAAACAAAACCCAGCCCACCAGCAGACGGCGACCCCAUGAAACAGCACAUGCCUAGUUGGCCUCUGCCCGGGCACUGAGCACGGGAUGCCCCACAGGUCUUUACUCAUAGGCAAACGACCUCUAUGGUCCAGAAAACCACAAGCCACGUAAGUUAUCCUAGCCAUGGGGAAUGCCUGGCAGAAGCAAAUGCAAAUUAUUUCUGGAAGGACUCUCCCUUAACCUUGGUUUAAACAAAGUCAAUCCCAACCCAAUCUGGCAUUUGUAACACACAUGAAAUGAGCCACUCCGAGUGAAGGGCAGCAGAAACAAACAUCAUCCUCGCUGAAGAAUAUGAGAUGGCUGUUCAUACACCACAGUCACAGGAAAGGUGAAGUCAAAAACAAGGUGUCAAAAAUAAGGACAGACAUUUGAAAGCCAAAUAAUGACUAGGUAGAAGAGACUGAAAUCUCAAACUCGGGGCACAGUCACAGCCCAAUAGAAAAUUAAUAAACUAGAAGGCAGGAUGAGUAAAUCUGCCAUAAUGCAGCAUAGAAGAACAAAGAAAGGAAAUACAAGAGAGCAUAAAAGGUACGAAAGAUGCAGAAGCGUAGCAUCUGGUCACAUUUCCCCGAAGCCAAGAAGGGGAGAUAACUCUAUUCAAAGAAGCUGAUGAGUUUCCCAAAUCGAUGAAAGACCUCAGGACCCAGAUUUAAAAAGCAAAACAUUCCAAGCAAGAUCAAAGCAAUCUUCACCUACACCAAUUGCUUUGAAGUUGAAGAACAUCAAAAGACAAAGGCUCUCUAAAAGGCAGCCAGAGAGAGAGGGCAGGCUAAGAAAGAGAAGGAAAUAAUUAGGAUGACAGGCAACUCAUGAACAACAAUAAUAAAAGCCAGAAGACUGCGGAGUAAGUUCAAAGAGGAGAGAGAAAUGUCAUCUCUAAAAUGGUGUAACAUUAGGUAUCGUUUAAGAUCCAGGAGAAAAGCAGAGACCAAGAAGAAACACGUCAUUAUGAGCCUGCUCUCGCUAGAGGCAUAGUGAAGGAAGGGCUGAGUGCAAGAAAGCAUGUUAAGCAAAGAGACGUGUGAGUGUGUGAGUUAAUGUAAAACCUGGAAUGGAACAGUCAUAACGAGGAGUCACCAAGGCCAAAUUACCCUCCUGAACAAAGACACGGGGGUGGAGAGGAGGGUGCUUAGAGCCACAGCGACGUGAGAUUGCGGCUUCAUCUGGGAGGAAAGUGAGUCUCAUUAUCCUCAGGCUCAGAAAAUCACUAAAGUUCAGCACUUGAAUGAGAGGUAAGAGUAAUUCCUAUUUUUAGUUGGGGAAAAGUAUUAUGGUUUAGAUGAUCCCAUGCUUGGCGGCAUCACCCUCGCCAACUGAGCCAGCCUGCUCUGCCUCGGACUUGGCCGGGGGUUGAGCCCAGCCGCACAGGGACAGCAGUUCGCUGGGCUGGAUCUUCAAGGCUGAGUGGUCAGGGGAAUUUGAAGGCACGCUGGUCAGGCUUGUUCUUUUUGGGGGCACGCUUCUGAGGGUUUCCUUUCUGACCUACGGAAGCCUUUCGCCAAGGCCUGUCUUUUAGAUCGUGGCUUCUGACUUCAGUUUUGAAAGUUUGUCUGUGCCAUCUUCUUGAAAAGGGCAGGAGAGAAAAAACUGGACUAAGAAGCAUAAGAAAAGCUUUCAGGAAAAUUCUGUAGCAACAAAUAAGAUGGUAAUGGGUGUGUCAGUGAUCACAGGAAAUGUCAAUGAGCCAAACUUGUCAGUUAAGAGAUUAUACAACUAAACUAAAAUAAAAUCUAGCUACCUUCUGUUUACAGGAGACAAAUAUGGAGACACAGAAACAUGCAAAUGUUUCUUAAAAAAUGAAAAGAUAUAAUGAGGAAACAAAUAAUUAAGAAGAAAGCUGAUACAGCUGUAUUAAUAUCAAAAUAGAUUUUAAUGGGAAACAAAAGUAAUAUUGGGAUAAAGAGUAGUACUUAAUGACUUUUAAAUGGUUCAAUUCACCAGGAAGAUAAUCUAAAACUUCUAUUUUUGGUUACGUUUUUAAAGUAAAAAUAUGGCAGAAUGACAAUGAAAACAUAAUAUCCAUAAUCUUGGGGGCAUGUCACUAUACCUAUUUGAUGACUGACAUCAGCAGUCCCAAAGUUAGUAAGAGAAAUCGAAAUCCCAUUCUCCAAUCACAAUGAAAUUUAGUUAGAAAUUGGUAACUGCUAGGAAAACUUUCACACAUCUAAUUAUUUUUAAAAAACAUUUAUAAACAGUUCACAAAUCAAAUAUGAAAUGCUAAUGAUAAAAUUUACCCAGAAAUUAUGAAUGUCAAAAUUUGUAGGAUUCAGCUAAAAUGGUACCCCUGCAAGAAAUCCAUAGCUUUGAAUGCCUUACUAGAGAGGAACGCUGAAAAUCAAGCCUGAAUAUUCAACUUGGGUUAGAAAAAAACAAUAGCCCAAAGAAAGCGACACUGAAGAGAAGUUAAUGAAACAGUAGAAAGAACAAAGAAGCUGGUUCUUUAGGGGAAAAAAGCUUAAAAAUGGUUAUGUUCUGGGUAAGACUCAUCGUAAAUAGAGAUGAAAGGAAUAAAAGGCACAUGAACAAUUUUAAACAUGCAAAAGCAAGCCUAACCAGGAACACAGCUAAGGGGGAGACGCACACCAUGGACAACGUUAUGCUGACAUAUCUGACAACUAAAGACAAUUCCAUGGAAAACUUGCCAAAAUUAACGAGAAAUAGUAAAUCUCUAUAACUAUCAGAAAAAAAGAAUAGGUAACUCUUCAAAUAGAGUAGUCACUGGUAACAGCAUUGGAGGCAAGUUCUACUCAACACUCAGGAAUGCAUGAGACACGUGCACUUGCAGAAAGAUCCAAUACCACUAAGAGGUCCAGUGUGUCUCCGUGCAGAAACUUACUGCAAUUCCGCUCAAACUGUAGACAAGGUUCGUCAACAAACUUGAAACUGUAACACUUAUACCAACGGACAAGACCCCAAGAAGAGUCAUGGCAACUAUGAAGAAAAUAAAUGCACACAGAUGUGCAGAGCAGGUCAGGAAUGGCUCCAGCAGACUCAAGCUUCACUAGAAAACAUUUUCUCAGCUCCAGCACUCCUGACACUUUGUGCCAGAUCGUUCUUGGUUGUGGGGUGUCCUGGGUAGUGUGGGGUGUUUAACUGCAUCCCUGGCCUCUGCCCACUAGAUGCCAAUAGCACACCCUUACCACCCCAGGCACGACAACCAAAAUGGGUCUCCAGACAUUGCCAAAUGUCCCCUUGGGGGCAAAAGUGUCCCCAGCUGAGAACCAACACUUGAUGACUAAGUAGACUACAGUAUGGUUUUGGCUCAGGGACGGGCGGCAGAAGAAUGGAGCCGAAAAGAGAGGCUUGAAGAUUCCUGAAUAUACAGAAACUGCCAAAGGUGUCGUUUCAUUCCAACAGAUUAGCAAAAAUUUAAAAAUCUGAUGCUACCAAGUGCCGGCGAAGAUGUAAUCAGAAUGUGCAUAUGUGGCUGAGGAGACUAUAAACUGGUGCAAAUGUUUUGGCAAGAAAUUUGACAGCAUCUAGUGAAAUGAAAGACAGCCAUGUCAUUGUGACCAGUAAUUCCUCUCCUAGUUAUAUACCCUAAAGAAAUGGUUUCCAAAGUGUGGUCCCCUCAGCAUCACCUGGUAACUUGGUUAUAAUGCAAAUCCUCAGGCCCCACCUCACACCUGCAGUGGGCCCAGGAAUCCAUGUUUGAACAGCCCUCCAGGGGACUGUGGGACUGCUCAAGCCUGAGAACAGCUGGUCUUAAAGCAACUCUUACGUAUAUGUACAGAGAGAGAAAUUAUAAGAAUGUCCAAGGCCGGGUGUGGUGGCUCACGCCUGUAAUCCCAGCACUCUGGGAGGCCCAGGUGGGAGGAUCACUCGGGCCAAGGAGUUCGAGACCAGCCUGGGCCACACAGUGAGACCCUGUCUCUCCAAAAAAAUAAAAAAUUAGCCCGGCAUGGUGGUGCACACCUGUCGUCUCAGCUACUCGGGAGUCUGAGGUGGGAGAACCACUUGAACCCAGGAGUUCCAGACUGCAAUGAGCUAUGACCACGCCACUGCACUCCAGCCUGGGUGACAGUGAGACUCCAUCCUAAAACAAACAAAAGUCCAUGCCGGCAUUGUUUUUAUUAAAUAAGAAAACUGGAAACACCCAUCAAUACAUCAAUGAAUAAAUUACAUUUAUUCAAUGGAAAUAAAUAUUUAAGGAUGGAAAUCAAAUUAGAGGUGAAUAUAUCAGUAUGGAUGAUUCUCAAAAUCAUAGCACUUAGGUGCACUGUUGCCUGUUAAUUCUAUCUUUUCUAACUUUAUUGUAAUUUUAUCAUUAGCCCCAAACCUCGUUCUCUUCCCAGGGCACUGGGUCCACGCUGGAGCAUCCCAGAGCUGAUCAAUCCCUCUGGAAGCAGGGACACCCCUGGCUCCAUAGGAUUCCAUUUUGCUGAACUACUGGUUCAGAAACACAAGAGCCUGACAUCUAUGGGAACACAGAGCCAGAAAACCCAGGCACAGACCAGGACAUCUCCGAGGUAUUUCCAGCAGGUAUCUGCUAGACGCGUUCUCUCUGCCAGCCCGCUGACUUGCUAGCUGUGGAGCAACUGCAGUACGUGCCCGUCCCUGUCACCAGGGGCUGGCCAUCAACAGAAGCUGCUCCUUCCAAGCCGGCCACGCGUCUACUACUUCAUCAUCCUCUCGGGGGUGCAUCCACGGCUCUCCCUACAAUGGGAGCUUCCUGAGAGGCACUUUCAUUUCUCUGUGCUUCCUCUGGGCUCACCAGCAAGUGCUAAACUGAAGGAAGAUAGAGUUAAAUUGUUUAGCAAUCAGAGUUUCUAUGACUGUCCAUCAUCACUGCAUCUCUUCUAUGACAUGAGACAUUGGUGCGAUGUGUCAUUAUGUUCAAAUGUGUGGGUCGGCCAGGGUGUAUCUGUAUGGACUGAAUGUGUCCCCAUAAAAUUUGUAUGUUGAAGCCCUAACCCCCAAUAUGAGGAUAUUUGGAGCUGGGGCCUUUGGGAGGUAAUUAAGUUAGAUGAGGUCAGAUGGACAUGGCCCCUGUGGUUGAGAUUAGCCCUAAUACCAAGAGAUAGCAGAGAGCUCCACCCUACUGUUGGCCACGUGCACACAUAGGGAGAAGGGGGCCGUCUAUAAGCAAGGAAGAGAGCCCUCAUCAGAAACCGAUCGCGCCAGCAUGCUGAUCUUGGAUCUGAGGCCUCCAGAACUGAGGGAAAAUAAAUGUCUGCUGUUGAAGUCACCCAGUCCAUAUUGUUUUGUUAUGGCAGCUGGGGUAAGACAGUGUCCUUCUCGGUUUCUACCCUUAACAGGAUAAAAAUCCCUGGAGCAAACCCUCUCCUUCCUCCCAAAGGAGCCAUGGGAAGCCACUCUCUACAAUUUGCAGCAAACACGGAAGCACCAGAAUCCUGCACGUAUGCUCGGAGGAAACGCACAGAGGACAAAUGCAGGGUCGCAGGAUACAAGAAUGGCAAAGGCUGACUCCAGAGAACGUUGUUAAGCUUCAAAUCUAUACUGUGCAUUGGAAGGUAAACAAGCAUCAUCCACACAACUAACUGACUGCAUUCACCAGCACACUCUGAAGUCUUCAACUACUGCUAUUAAUCUAUUUUUCUCAACAUUAUUUUCUUUCCUCAUUCUUGGAUUUCUUUUUAUUUAUGUAUUUAUUUUUUGAGAUGGAGUCUUGCUCUGUCGCCAGGCUGGAGUGCAGUGGCGCGAUCUCAGCUCACUGCAACCUCUGCCUCCCGGGUUCAAGUGAUUCUCCUGCCUCAGCCUCCUGAGUAGCUGGGACUACAGGCACAUGUCACCACGCCCAGCUAAUUUUUGUAUUUUCAGUAGAGACGAGGUUUCACCAUGUUGGCCAGGAUGGUCUCCAUCUCUUGACCUCGUGAUCCACCCACUUCGGCCUCCCAAAGUGCUGGGAUUAUAGGCGUAUGCCACUGCGCCUGGCCUCAUUCUCGGAUUUCUUUAACCUCUCCUUGGAGGGGACACAGAACUGGAUGACAAGGAAGAAACACUCCUGGGAGAUGUGGUUGGGGGCAGGAUAGAGAGAACAAAGGCCAGGGCCAGGCAAGGCUGGGGAAAGGAUGAAGGCUGAGAUUUGGGGGGUGAGGGAGGUGUCCAGAAGAUGAUGAGACGUUCAGGAGAAUGGGAGGGCAGGAAAACAGGGCAAGGUUUGGACGGGUCUCCCCGCUGCCGGGGGUCUGGUACUGCCUGUGCAGCGCAGGCUGGAGGGAAAAUGUAAGCUGCCCAGUGCCGCUGCCCUGCCCACCCCUGCUGCACCUCUGAGUCACUCAGUUCUUCCAAAGGAAAAGCUGGGAAGAAGGAGUUCGGUGUCUGGACUUCUAAUCAGCUUGUUCCUUACAGCACUAUUUACUGAGGGAAAGAUUUUAAAUGUUCAGCUAGGAAAACUGGUGGAAUAUAUUAGGAUACAUCAUGACAAAAAGAUGCAGCCUUUGACACACAACCUCUUAUAGUAUUUUUAACAACAGGCGGAAAGAGCCCUAUGUAACAUGAAGAAAAGUUAGAGACAAAGCCAUAUAUAUGUACGGUCCAGUCAGAUACCAAUUAGAUAAGCAGACUCGACAGAGACUAGAAAGAACACACGAAAAGCAGUAACAGGGACUAUUCUGUACUGGAGAAUUAAGGGCUAUUUUUCUUUUUUUCCAUUUUGGUAAUUUUGCAGGUUCUCUAGAAGCAUAAUUUGUGUUUGUAAUCUUUUUUUUUUUUUUUUUUUUUUGAGACAGUCUCACUCUGCCACCUAGGCCGGAGUGCAGUGGUGCGAUCUCGGCUCAUGGCAACCUCCGCCUCCCGGGUUCAAGUGAUUCCCGUGCUUCAGCCUCCUGAGUAGCUGGGAUUAGAGACACGCGCCACCACGGCCGGCUAAUUUUUGUAUUUUAGUAGAGAUGAGGUUUCACCAUGUUGGCCAGGUUGGUCUCAAACUCCUGACCUCGGGUGAUCUGCCUGCCUUGGCCUGCCAAAGUGCUGGGAUUACAGGCGUGAGCCACCACGCCUGGCUGUAUCUGUAAUCUUUAGAGGUAUUAAAAAAAAUAUAUCUUCAACUAAAGCUUAGACUGAUAGAAGAGGCAAAAGCAGGGCAAGAGAGAGGUGGCCCGACGCACACAUUUUGGUUGCUGGGGUCUCAUAACAGAACGGAACUUCUGAGGAUUCUGCCCCAUGCCCUGCUCUGGGGAGAGGGGUCCAUCGCCACCCCGCACAGCCGGUGAGUCCCCACACCAGCAGCCCCAGCCCCCACUCGCCUCGCCGCUCUGCAAUCUGCAGGUAGCCAGUGGACAGGUACUGCUCCAUGUCCUGCUGGAAGGCUUCCUCAAAAAACUUCUGCCGCU
RNAcentral lists this long non-coding RNA (7892 nucleotides) under Homo sapiens (human). Its description in RNAcentral is "HSALNT0101868". The record is from RNAcentral. Lineage: Eukaryota; Metazoa; Chordata; Mammalia; Primates; Hominidae.